Myiozetetes cayanensis is the source of this 545-nucleotide long non-coding RNA. RefSeq lists it as uncharacterized. The record is from RefSeq and is a predicted model, not a curated record. Lineage: Eukaryota; Metazoa; Chordata; Aves; Passeriformes; Tyrannidae. The transcript is spliced from 3 exons.
CUGGGACACCCCAAUAUCCUCAUUUUGGCAAUAUCCUCAUUUUGGAGGUUCCCCCACUCUCUGGGACACCCCAAUAUCCUCAUUUUGGCAAUAUCCUCAUUUUGGAGGUUCCCCCACGCUCUGGGACACCCCAAUAUCCUCAUUUUGGAGGUUCCCCCAUGCUCUGGGACACCCCAAUAUCCUCAUUUUGGAGGUUCCCCCACGCUCUGGGACACCCCAAUAUCCUCAUUUUGGAGGUUCCCCCACGCUCUGGGACCCCCCAAUAUCCUCAUUUUGGAGGUUCCCCCUCGCUCUGGGACACCCCAAUAUCCUCAUUUUGGCAAUAUCCUCAUUUUGGAGGUUCCCCCACGCUCCUGGGACACCCCAAUAUCCUCAUUUUGGAGGUUCCCCCUCGCUCUGGGACACCCCAAUAUCCUCAUUUUGGCAAUAUCCUCAUUUUGGAGGUUCCCCCACGCUCUGGGACACCCCAAUAUCCUCAUUUUGGAGGUUCCCCCACGCUCUGGGACACCCCAAUAUCUCCCUGGGUUAUGGUUUUUUGGGGUGUG